GAUAAUAUAUUUUAAUCGCAUGGUAAAGAUAUCAAAGCUCCGGCGGUACAGGAUGGACCCGCGUCUGAUUAGCUAGUUGGUGAGGUAAUGGCUCACCAAGGCGACGAUCAGUAGCCGACCUGAGAGGGUGAUCGGCCACACUGGAACUGAGACACGGUCCAGACUCCUACGGGAGGCAGCAGUGGGGAAUAUUGCACAAUGGGCGAAAGCCUGAUGCAGCAACGCCGCGUGAGCGAUGAAGGCCUUCGGGUCGUAAAGCUCUGUCCUCAAGGAAGAUAAUGACGGUACUUGAGGAGGAAGCCCCGGCUAACUACGUGCCAGCAGCCGCGGCAAUACGUAGGGGGCUAGCGUUACCCGGAAUUACUGGGCGUAAAGGGUGCGUAGGCGGUCUUUCAAGCCAGAAGUGAAAGGCUACGGCUCAACCGUAGUAAGCUUUUGGAACUGUAAGACUUGAGUGCAGGAGAGGAGAGUGGAAUUCCUAGUGUAGCGGUGAAAUGCGUAGAUAUUAGGAGGAACACCAGUGGCGAAGGCGGCUCUCUGGACUGUAACUGACGCUGAGGCACGAAAGCGUGGGGAGCAAAAAGGAUCAGAUACCCUGGUAGUCCACGCCGUAAACGAUGAGUACUAGGUGUCGGGGGUUACCCCCCUCGGUGCCGCAGCUAACGCAUUAAGUACUCCGCCUGGGAAGUACGCUCGCAAGAGUGAAACUCAAAGGAAUUGACGGGGACCCGCACAAGUAGCGGAGCAUGUGGUUUAAUUUGAAGCAACGCGAAGGACCUUACCUAAGCUUGACAUCCCAUUGACCUCUCCCUAAUCGGAGAUUUCCCUUCGGGGACAGUGGUGACAGGUGGUGCAUGGUUGUCGUCAGCUCGUGUCGUGAGAUGUUGGGUUAAGUCCCGCAACGAGCGCAACCCUUGCCUUUAGUUGCCAGCAUUAAGUUGGGCACUCUAGAGGGACUGCCGAGGAUAACUCGGAGGAAGGUGGGGAUGACGUCAAAUCAUCAUGCCCCUUAUGCUUAGGGCUACACACGUGCUACAAUGGGUGGUACAGAGGGUUGCCAAACCGUGAGGUGGAGCUAAUCCCUUAAAGCCAUUCUCAGUUCGGAUUGUAGGCUGAAACUCGCCUACAUGAAGCUGGAGUUACUAGUAAUCGCAGAUCAGAAUGCUGCGGUGAAAAAGUUCCCGGGUCUU
RNAcentral lists this ribosomal RNA (1190 nucleotides) under uncultured bacterium. RNAcentral describes it as "bacterial SSU rRNA". It matches the Rfam family "Bacterial small subunit ribosomal RNA", at positions 172 to 1382 of the family's 1533-position model. The record is from RNAcentral.